AUAUAUUUGUAAAGAUCCAAAAAUAAAUGACGCUACGCAAGAACCAGUUAACUGUACAAACUACACAGCUCAUGUUUCCUGUUUUCCAGCACCCAACAUAACUUGUAAGGAUUCCAGUGGCAAUGAAACACAUUUUACUGGGAACGAAGUUGGUUUUUUCAAGCCCAUAUCUUGCCGAAAUGUAAAUGGCUAUUCCUACAAAGUGGCAGUCGCAUUGUCUCUUUUUCUUGGAUGGUUGGGAGCAGAUCGAUUUUACCUUGGAUACCCUGCUUUGGGUUUGUUAAAGUUUUGCACUGUAGGGUUUUGUGGAAUUGGGAGCCUAAUUGAUUUCAUUCUUAUUUCAAUGCAGAAGUUUAAUUAUGAUGUACCUUGGUCAGAAGAAGAAAUGUAACAGCAGACACAGAGGUCACAGUGAUGUGAUUACUGCUUGGAAGGUGGAAGGAGGCCAUGAGCCAAGGAAUGCAACUGGCCUCUAGAAGGAAGCUCAGAAAGGCAAGGAAACAGAUUCUCCCAUAGGUGCCUCCAGAAGGACACAGCCUUAUAACACUUUCUCCUGAGCUCCUUGAGACUCAUUUUGAAAUUCUGUACCUCCAGAACUAUAAGAUAAUAAAUUUGUGUUGUUUUAAGGCACU
This 632-nucleotide long non-coding RNA is filed under the name Homo sapiens (human). RNAcentral's name for it is "long non-coding RNA NONHSAT151710.1". Lineage: Eukaryota; Metazoa; Chordata; Mammalia; Primates; Hominidae. The record is from RNAcentral.